This 120-nucleotide ribosomal RNA is filed under the name uncultured bacterium. Its description in RNAcentral is "partial 16S ribosomal RNA". It matches the Rfam family "Bacterial small subunit ribosomal RNA", at positions 32 to 147 of the family's 1533-position model. The record is from RNAcentral.
AAUCAACGCUGGCGGCGUGCCUAACACAUGCAAGUCGAACGCGAAAGCCCCGCAAGGGGCAAGUAGAGUGGCAAACGGGUGAGUAACACGUGGGUGACCUGCCUUAGAGUGGGGGAUAAC